GUCUACAGCCAUACCUCCCUGAAAAAACGCCUGAUCUCAGAAGAUAAGCAGGGUCACACCUGGUUAGUGCUUGGACGGGAGGACGUGUAUGGUGAGAAAAUUGUUUCUGGGAGUUGUAAUCA
Molecule: ribosomal RNA, 122 nt
Filed under: Erinaceus europaeus (western European hedgehog)
Lineage: Eukaryota; Metazoa; Chordata; Mammalia; Eulipotyphla; Erinaceidae
Source: RNAcentral